UACGGAGGGUCCGAGCGUUAAUCGGAAUUACUGGGCGUAAAGCGUGCGCAGGCGGUUUGUUAAGCCAGAUGUGAAAGCCCCGGGCUCAACCUGGGAAUUGCAUUUGGAACUGGCGAACUAGAGUCUUGUAGAGGGAGGUAGAAUUUCAGGUGUAGCGGUGAAAUGCGUAGAUAUCUGAAGGAAUACCGGUGGCGAAGGCGGCCUCCUGGACAAAGACUGACGCUCAUGCACGAAAGCGUGGGGAGCAAACAGG
Molecule: ribosomal RNA, 253 nt
Filed under: uncultured bacterium
Lineage: Bacteria
Description: partial 16S ribosomal RNA
Rfam family: Bacterial small subunit ribosomal RNA
Source: RNAcentral